Molecule: small RNA, 125 nt
Filed under: Marmota monax (woodchuck)
Lineage: Eukaryota; Metazoa; Chordata; Mammalia; Rodentia; Sciuridae
Source: RNAcentral
GCCGGGUGUGGUGGCGCACCCCUGUAAUCCCAGCAGCUUGGGAGGCUGAGGCAGGAGGAUUUCAAGUUCAAAGCCAGCCUCAGCAACAGUGAGGCACUAAGCACGUCAGUGAGACCCUGUCUCUA